GGUCCUGUGGCCCAAUGGAUAAGGCGCCUGACUAUGAAUCAGGAGAUUCCAGGUUCAAGUCCUGGCAGGAUCG
Ciona savignyi (Pacific transparent sea squirt) is the source of this 73-nucleotide non-coding RNA. The record is from Rfam. NCBI's taxonomy places the organism in Eukaryota, Metazoa, Chordata, Ascidiacea, Phlebobranchia, Cionidae.